AAUUUAGCAAAAAAAAUUACAAAAAAUACAAUGCUUAACGAAUACCCAUCCCUACCUCAUCACCACUGGCAGGAGGAGUACCCUCACCCUCCCUCACAUCCACACCCUCCUCCCUAACCUCUUCCUCGUCCCCAAUCUCUACAAAAUCAGUCUGACCUGAAACUAUUUCCUUGAUCCAUUCGAGGUCAACACCUAGCUGGUGCUUAGAAAGCUUUGACAUAAUAAUUAUCUAUAAAGUGAUGUAUAAAUCUACCAAUCUUUCAUCAGAAGACUUGGUCUCAGCUUCUAUCUCCUGGAUCCAGGCAUUAACUCAAUCCAUUUUAGCUUGAUGGUGGUUUUUGGUAUAUGAUAGCUCUGUGGUAAAUAAGGCCACCUUCCUUUCAGAAACUUCCACAUCAGACAUUAGCUACUUGAUUUAGUCAUCUCUCUUCUCCAGUGCAAACUCCAAGGCACUAUAGUUAGUCUGAAGCUCCCUGUAGUUAUCGCGCAGUCCUUGGAGGUGCUCUUGUAUAAGGUUAUUGAUAAUCACUACCUCCAAGCUCAGACUCAUAGACCAAAGAAUCAAGUUACAGUUGCUCUCAGGCUCAAGUCAAGCUCUAUCCUCAAGAAGAGUCAGCUUCUUCCCCAGCAACUCUCCUAGUGGUAGAUUCUCGG
This 654-nucleotide unclassified non-coding RNA is filed under the name Hevea brasiliensis (rubber tree). Lineage: Eukaryota; Viridiplantae; Streptophyta; Magnoliopsida; Malpighiales; Euphorbiaceae. The record is from RNAcentral.